CAGCGGCGCACGUUAGCGCCGAUGCCUGAUGGAGGCUCGUCCCCCGCCUCGUCAGACAACAGGACAAAGGCUCCAUCCCCCCUCUCCGGCCUUUGUCCCAAAAAGCAGCCGCCAUGGCCAGCCCCCCUCCAGGCCAUGGCGGCUUAUU
Small RNA from Martelella sp. AD-3, 148 nucleotides. It matches the Rfam family "Alphaproteobacterial sRNA ar7". NCBI's taxonomy places the organism in Bacteria, Pseudomonadati, Pseudomonadota, Alphaproteobacteria, Hyphomicrobiales, Aurantimonadaceae. The record is from Rfam.